RNAcentral lists this ribosomal RNA (463 nucleotides) under uncultured bacterium. Its description in RNAcentral is "partial 16S ribosomal RNA". It matches the Rfam family "Bacterial small subunit ribosomal RNA", at positions 29 to 507 of the family's 1533-position model. The record is from RNAcentral.
ACGAACGCUGGCGGCGUGCCUCACACAUGCCCGUCGAGCGAAUGAAGUUCCUUCGGGAAUGGAUUUAGCGGCGGACGGGUGAGUAACACGUGGGCAACCUGCCUCAUAGAGGGGAAUAGCCUUCCGAAAGGGAGAUUAAUACCGCAUAAGAUUGUAGUAUCGCAUGAUACAGCAAUUAAAGGAGCAAUCCGCUAUGAGAUGGGCCCGCGGCGCAUUAGCUAGUUGGUGAGGUAACGGCUCACCAAGGCGACGAUGCGUAGCCGACCUGAGAGGGUGAUCGGCCACAUUGGGACUGAGACACGGCCCAGACUCCUACGGGAGGCAGCAGUGGGGAAUAUUGCACAAUGGGGGAAACCCUGAUGCAGCAACGCCGCGUGAGUGAUGACGGCCUUCGGGUUGUAAAGCUCUGUCUUCAGGGACGAUAAUGACGGUACCUGAGGAGGAAGCCACGGCUAACUACGUG